GGUAAACUGUGUCAUGGGGGGUUUGUUGUCACGGGGGUUUGUUACGUAGGUAAACUGAGUCCUGAGGGUUUGGUUAUUAUUUCAUCACCCAGGUAUUAAGCCUAGUACCCAUUAGUUAUUGUUCCUGAUCCUCUCCCUCCUCCCACCCUCCACCCUCCGAUAGGCCCCAGUGUGUGUUGUUCCCCUCUAAGUGUCCGUGUGUUCUCACCAUUUAGCUCCCACUUAUGAGUGAGAACAGCAGCAUGGCAUUUCUUUCUUUUGAGACGGAGUCUCACUCUGUCGCCCAGGCUGGAGUGCAGUGGUGCCAUCUGGGCUCACUGCAACCUCCACCUCCCUGGUUCAAGUGAUUCUCCUGCCUCAGGCUCCUGAGUAGCUGGGAUUACAGGUACCCGCCACCACACCAGGCUAAUUUUUUGUGUUUUUAGUAGAGACGGGGUUUCUCCAUAUUGGCCAGGCUGGUCUCGAACUCCUGACCUCAGGUGAUCCACUGGCCUUGGCCUCCCAAAGUGCUGGGAUAACAGGCGUGAGCCACCACAACCGGCCGGCAGGGCAUUUCUUACUGUAUCUAGGAUUGGUGAGAUGGCCCCUGGAUAUGAUCCUUCUGCUGAGUUCGUCAAAGGCCAUCUUCAAACUUCAGCUUGACAAAACACCCCGAAGAAAUUCUAAAGGGACAAUCAACAGAAAAUUCUGAAAAUUUUUUUUAAUUUUUUGCCUUGAAAUGGUAAAGUCCCAUAACAACAGCUUGAAUGGAUUAACUUUAUCCCAGUCACAUAUACAAGUCACUUAUCUAUAAAUCACUUAUGUAAAACAUGUAUACUUGGAAUGACUUGAAAGAAACAUGAAAUCUGUCUCCAUUAUCUCACCUGUAAAGUGGAGAUGAUAACACCAGCUCUAACUCAUUUGGAUGAGGAAAAUGUAUGUGGAAGUUAGAGCUCAGAAGAAAAAGCUGUUAGAGCACAC
RNAcentral lists this long non-coding RNA (960 nucleotides) under Pan paniscus (pygmy chimpanzee). RNAcentral's name for it is "lncRNA (ENSPPAG00000045268.1)". Lineage: Eukaryota; Metazoa; Chordata; Mammalia; Primates; Hominidae. The record is from RNAcentral.